This 344-nucleotide unclassified non-coding RNA is filed under the name soil metagenome. Its description in RNAcentral is "partial contains 5.8S ribosomal RNA, internal transcribed spacer 2, and large subunit ribosomal RNA". The stretch from base 1 to 121 matches the Rfam family "5.8S ribosomal RNA", at positions 35 to 154 of the family's 154-position model. The record is from RNAcentral.
GAUGAAGAACGCAGCGAAAUGCGAUAAGUAAUGCGAAUUGCAGAAUUUCCGUGAGUCAUCGAAUCUUUGAACGCACAUUGCGCCCACUGGUAUUCCGGUGGGCAUGCCUGUUCGAGCGUCAUUAUCCUCCCUCAAACCCCGGGUUUGGUGUUGGACCCAAGUUGUGUGAACAACUGGUCUCAAAGACAAUGACGGCGUCCGUGGGACCCUCGGUGCAACGAGCUUUUAGGAGCACGCAUCGAGUUGCAAGGACCUUCCGGGCCGGUCUCCUUUACCAUUUUACAAGGUUGACCUCGGAUCAGGUAGGAAUACCCGCUGAACUUAAGCAUAUCAAUAAGCGAGGA